This 432-nucleotide ribosomal RNA is filed under the name uncultured bacterium. RNAcentral's name for it is "bacterial SSU rRNA". It matches the Rfam family "Bacterial small subunit ribosomal RNA", at positions 29 to 507 of the family's 1533-position model. The record is from RNAcentral.
AACGAACGCUGGCGGCAGGCCUAACACAUGCAAGUCGAACGCCCUAGCAAUAGGGAGUGGCAGACGGGUGAGUAACACGUGGGAACCUUCCCUAUAGUACGGAAUAGCCCAGGGAAACUUGGAGUAAUACCGUAUAAGCCCGAGAGGGGAAAGAUUUAUCGCUAUAGGAUGGGCCCGCGUCGGAUUAGCUAGUUGGUGAGGUAAUGGCUCACCAAGGCGACGAUCCGUAGCUGGUUUGAGAGAACGACCAGCCACACUGGGACUGAGACACGGCCCAGACUCCUACGGGAGGCAGCAGUGGGGAAUAUUGGACAAUGGGCGAAAGCCUGAUCCAGCCAUGCCGCGUGAGUGAUGAAGGCCUUAGGGUUGUAAAGCUCUUUUGUCGGGGACGAUAAUGACGGUACCCGAAGAUAAGCUCCGGCUAACUUCGUG